UGGGUCGACCAGGGCAGGAGAAAACAAGGGUUUACCCUUGUUCUUGUAAGAUUCAACAAAUUAACAAAGGAAUUCAAGGCCAAUCAGUUGCAUGUCAUCAAAUUCUCGUUUAACACAUCAUACUCAAUAGAGUGGCGUGAAAGAAGAAGACUCAAACACUAAGAAAAUGGGAGACUCGCAAGAUCGAGGUAAAUCCUCAAUUUAGGCGACUUGGCAAUUUGGAGCGAGCAUAUGCACACUUGAUGGUUAUCAAGCGCUUCCGCUAUUACGUAUUAAUGUUUUGGGUCAAAUGCUCGUUUUUUUUAUAAAACUUUGUUAGUGGUUACACUUUUUAACACUUGAUGUAUGAUUUUUAGUCGUGUCUAGAUGA
This is a long non-coding RNA of Helianthus annuus (common sunflower), 370 nucleotides long. RefSeq lists it as uncharacterized. The record is from RefSeq and is a predicted model, not a curated record. The transcript has 3 exons. NCBI's taxonomy places the organism in Eukaryota, Viridiplantae, Streptophyta, Magnoliopsida, Asterales, Asteraceae.